Molecule: long non-coding RNA, 1032 nt
Organism: Aphis gossypii (cotton aphid)
Lineage: Eukaryota; Metazoa; Arthropoda; Insecta; Hemiptera; Aphididae
Exons: 3
Source: RefSeq, a predicted model, not a curated record
AUCGAUUAGUAUUAAGUUGAAUAUUGUUUUAAUAAAUUACGACGUUUAUAUAUUAUUAUAUUUUAUAUAAUCAACAACAAGAACAAAAAAAAAAAAAAUCUGUUUAUCUGCAGUUUGUUUUUUUACAACUUUUCCCUGAUAUUUGUGUAUUUUAUAUACCAAGCAGUUAUUGUAAUCGAUAAAACACUAAUAACUCUAUACUAUAUAUAUGGGAAAUAAAGUAAUUAGACUAAAAUAAACAGUAUACCGUAGGUAUAGCUACGAUACAGGUAACAUAUUGCAAUAUUAAAUCGUGUAGCUAGUAAUAUAUAUUUUGUUUCAUUUAUGUCUUAUACAGUUUCAACCGCCGGAAAUAGAAAUAUUGAGAUACAUAAUACUAUUUGAAUUGAAUAAUUAACAAACCAAACAUACUAUGUAUGAGAAUUCGAAAUUUGUGGGAUUCGUUCAAUCUGACAUAAUGAGUUAAACUGCAGUUUUGCAAUAAGCGGAUUUUUCUGGAAUAUUAGAAAAAUUGGUGGUCGGUCAGUUAAACCUCAUGGAAUUGUGUCUACGUUAUGAAAGAUUCAAAAUUAGGUGGGGAUGUCUAAUUACUUUUUUGGAAAUUAUAAUACUUUCUAUAAUGCACUAAAUAUAAAUCAACCAAACCGAAAAAUCAUUGAUGGUGACUGAUGAGUAUUGGGGUACGUCAUAGCUAUAGGUACUUAUGCAAUGGAUUUCAUUAUUAUUUUUAAUUUUUUGUGUAUGUAUAUUUACAAAUCGAUUGAGUAUAAUAGUAAAAUAUCCAUACAUACUCAAAAAUAGAUAUUUUAACGGAGGCAAAAAAUAUCGAAAUUGUUUUUCAUUCAAAGUAAUAAAUUCAUUAUUUGUUUGUUUUAUGACGAUUGAAUUCUGAGAAUGGUACUGCGAUCAUAAAUAAAUAUUAGUCAGUAAGUAUAACCCACUCAAUAAUUAUAUAGAUGGAAAAUUGUACCCAUAAACUAUGCAGUCAUUAAGAUUUUUUUUUAAUAUUAAUAAAUGUAAUAUAUUUAUUCA